RNAcentral lists this ribosomal RNA (1509 nucleotides) under uncultured bacterium. RNAcentral's name for it is "bacterial SSU rRNA". It matches the Rfam family "Bacterial small subunit ribosomal RNA". The record is from RNAcentral.
AGAGUUUGAUCAUGGCUCAGGACGAACGCUGGCGGCGCGCCUAACACAUGCAAGUCGAGCGAGAACCAGGGCUUCGGCCCUGGGGACAGCGGCGAACGGGUGAGUAACACGUGGGUAAUCUGCCCUCGGCACCGGGAUAGCCCGGGGAAACCCGGAUUAAUACCGGAUGGCCUCUCGAGUCUUCGGGCUCGAGCGAAAAGGUGGCUUCGGCUUCCGGCCGAGGAUGAGCCCGCGGCCGAUUAGCUUGUUGGUGGGGUAACGGCCCACCAAGGCAACGAUCGGUAGCUGGUCUGAGAGAACGAUCAGCCACACUGGGACUGAGACACGGCCCAGACUCCUACGGGAGGCAGCAGUGGGGAAUCUUGCGCAAUGGGCGAAAGCCUGACGCAGCGACGCCGCGUGCGGGAAGAAGGCCUUCGGGUUGUAAACCGCUUUCAGGUGGGACGAAGCCACUCGGGUUAAUAGCCCAGAGGGUGACGGUACCUCCAGAAGAAGCCCCGGCUAACUACGUGCCAGCAGCCGCGGUAAUACGUAGGGGGCUAGCGUUGUCCGGAUUUAUUGGGCGUAAAGAGCGCGUAGGCGGCCUGGCAAGUCCGACGUGAAAUCUGGAGGCUCAACCUCCAGCGGUCGUUGGAAACUGCUUGGCUAGAGUCCGGAAGAGGAGAGUGGAAUUCCUGGUGUAGCGGUGAAAUGCGCAGAUAUCAGGAAGAACACCGAUGGCGAAAGCAGCUCUCUGGGACGGUACUGACGCUGAGGCGCGAAAGCGUGGGGAGCGAACAGGAUUAGAUACCCUGGUAGUCCACGCCGUAAACGAUGGGCACUAGGUGUGGGCGGUGUCGACUCCGUCCGCGCCGAAGCUAACGCAUUAAGUGCCCCGCCUGGGGAGUACGGCCGCAAGGCUAAAACUCAAAGGAAUUGACGGGGGCCCGCACAAGCAGCGGAGCAUGUGGUUUAAUUCGACGCAACGCGAAGAACCUUACCAGGGCUUGACAUGCACGGGAAUGUCGUAGAAAUACGGCAGCCCUUCGGGGCUCGUGCACAGGUGGUGCAUGGCUGUCGUCAGCUCGUGUCGUGAGAUGUUGGGUUAAGUCCCGCAACGAGCGCAACCCUCGCCCUUAGUUGCCAUCAUUCAGUUGGGCACUCUAAGGGGACUGCCGGUGAUAAGCCGCGAGGAAGGUGGGGAUGACGUCAAGUCCUCAUGGCCCUUACGGCCUGGGCCACACACGUGCUACAAUGGCGGUGACAAUGGGCAGCAAAGGGGCAACCCGGAGCUAAUCUCAAAAAGCCGUCUCAGUUCGGAUUGCACUCUGCAACUCGGGUGCAUGAAGUCGGAAUCGCUAGUAAUCGCGGAUCAGCACGCCGCGGUGAAUACGUUCCCGGGCCUUGUACACACCGCCCGUCACACCAUGGGAGUUGGCUUUACCCGAAGAUGGUGCGCUAACCCGCAAGGGAGGCAGCCAGCCACGGUAGGGUCAGCGACUGGGGUGAAGUCGUAACAAGGUAACCGUA